CACCCUACGGGGGGCAGCAUUUCUUCCUCUUGGUCCCUUUUCUUGAGCCUGAACCAGCCAAGUCGCGUGAGGGAAGACGGUCCUAUGGAUUGUAAACCUCUUUAGGCGGGGAGCAAUGCCGGGCACGCGUGUCCGGAGGGAGAGUACCCGCAGAAUAAGCAUCGGCUAACUCCGUGCCAGCAGCCGCGGUAAUACGGAGGAUGCGAGCGUUAUCCGGAUUUAUUGGGUUUAAAGGGUGCGUAGGCGGAUUUUUAAGUCAGCGGUAAAAUGUCCGGGCUCAACCCGGGCCGGCCGGUGAAACUGGG
Molecule: ribosomal RNA, 305 nt
Filed under: uncultured bacterium
Lineage: Bacteria
Description: bacterial SSU rRNA
Rfam family: Bacterial small subunit ribosomal RNA
Source: RNAcentral